UGCCCGCUUCACCUCCCUGAGCGGGGGCCUCGACGUGUAACAACCAACAGGCUUGCCACCCCGGCCCGCUGCGCUUGCACCGGCCGGGGUAUUUUUU
RNAcentral lists this non-coding RNA (97 nucleotides) under Pseudorhodoferax sp. Leaf274. Its description in RNAcentral is "Burkholderia RNA 7 (anti-hemB)". It matches the Rfam family "Burkholderia RNA 7 (anti-hemB)". Rfam says of the family: This RNA motif was identified by computational search in b-proteobacteria Burkholderia. Co-purified with Hfq, expression confirmed by Northern blot. The record is from Rfam by way of RNAcentral. Lineage: Bacteria; Pseudomonadati; Pseudomonadota; Betaproteobacteria; Burkholderiales; Comamonadaceae.